ACAAUGAAGAGUUUGAUCCUGGCUCAGGAUGAACGCUAGCGGCAGGCCUAACACAUGCAAGUCGAGGGGCAUCACGGAAAAGCUUGCUUUUCUGGUGGCGACCGGCGCACGGGUGCGGAACGCGUAUGGAACCUGCCCCUGUCAGGGGAAUAGCCCAGGGAAACUUGGAUUAAUGCCCCAUGGUACCGUUAUAUCGCAUGAUAUUGCGGUUAAAGAUUUAUCGGACAGGGAUGGCCAUGCGUACCAUUAGUUAGUUGGUGAGGUAACGGCUCACCAAGGCAGCGAUGGUUAGGGGCCCUGAGAGGGGGAUCCCCCAC
Molecule: ribosomal RNA, 317 nt
Filed under: Allomuricauda sp.
Lineage: Bacteria; Pseudomonadati; Bacteroidota; Flavobacteriia; Flavobacteriales; Flavobacteriaceae
Description: bacterial SSU rRNA
Rfam family: Bacterial small subunit ribosomal RNA
Source: RNAcentral